CAGUCGCCAGGUAAUACGGAGGAUCCAAGCGUUAUCCGGAAUCAUUGGGUUUAAAGGGUCCGUAGGCGGUCUUGUAAGUCAGUGGUGAAAGCCCAUCGCUCAACGGUGGAACGGCCAUUGAUACUGCAGGACUUGAAUUAUUGGGAAGUAACUAGAAUAUGUAGUGUAGCGGUGAAAUGCUUAGAGAUUACAUGGAAUACCAAUUGCGAAGGCAGGUUACUACCAAUUGAUUGACGCUGAUGGACGAAAGCGUGGGUAGCGAACAGGAUUAGAUACCCGAGUAGUCCCUGUCUCUUAUACA
RNAcentral lists this ribosomal RNA (301 nucleotides) under uncultured bacterium. RNAcentral's name for it is "partial 16S ribosomal RNA". It matches the Rfam family "Bacterial small subunit ribosomal RNA", at positions 512 to 808 of the family's 1533-position model. The record is from RNAcentral.